This 72-nucleotide transfer RNA is filed under the name bacterium. Its description in RNAcentral is "tRNA-Ile". It matches the Rfam family "tRNA". Rfam says of the family: Transfer RNA (tRNA) molecules are approximately 80 nucleotides in length. Their secondary structure includes four short double-helical elements and three loops (D, anti-codon, and T loops). The record is from RNAcentral.
GGAGCCGUAGUUCAUCGGCAGAACGCGAUCCUUAUAAGAUCGAUGUAGAUGGUCCGACUCCAUCCGGCUCCA